This is a non-coding RNA of Desmophyllum pertusum, 73 nucleotides long. The record is from the annotation of a GenBank genome assembly. NCBI's taxonomy places the organism in Eukaryota, Metazoa, Cnidaria, Anthozoa, Scleractinia, Caryophylliidae.
UCAUCCAUGAGCUCAGUGGUAGAGCAUCUGACCGGUGGGCGGAAUGUCAUAGGUUAGACUCCUGUUGGGGGAA